AAGUCGUAACAAGGUUUCCGUAGGUGAACCUGCGGAAGGAUCAUUAAAAAAAUGAGGUAUUUUAUACCUCUUGUAUUUAAAACCCAACUCUUUAAAAUAUUUUUUUUUAAAUAAAAAAAAACUUUCAACAAUGGAUCUCUUGGCUCUC
RNAcentral lists this unclassified non-coding RNA (148 nucleotides) under Gigaspora rosea. Its description in RNAcentral is "partial internal transcribed spacer region". The stretch from base 1 to 46 matches the Rfam family "Eukaryotic small subunit ribosomal RNA", at positions 1786 to 1831 of the family's 1831-position model. Lineage: Eukaryota; Fungi; Glomeromycota; Glomeromycetes; Diversisporales; Gigasporaceae. The record is from RNAcentral.